Molecule: long non-coding RNA, 1170 nt
Filed under: Chloebia gouldiae (Gouldian finch)
Lineage: Eukaryota; Metazoa; Chordata; Aves; Passeriformes; Passeridae
Description: Erythrura gouldiae (Gouldian finch) lncRNA (ENSEGOG00005009615.1)
Source: RNAcentral
GUAGGGGGUGGGAGAGGGGAGGAAAAGAGAGCAAAUAGGAGGAAUGUAGAGAAAAAGAAUUACGAAAGAAAAGAAACGCAAAAGAACAGUAAUGCAGAGAAAAAGAGAUACAGGGUCCAGCCGGCCCCAACAGCCCGCACCGAACGCCAGGGAGCGAAUGGCUCAGCCCCGCCCUCCCCGCGGUUUAAAUCCCCCACGGCCCCGCCCCGCGCAGCCGCGCUGGGGCCCCGCGCACCUGCGCGCGCCCCUCUGCUGGCCCCGCCCCCCCGCCCGUAAAUGGCGGCGGAUCCGCGCCCGCCCCGCGUCCUGCGGGGGAUGCUCGGCCCGGGCUGCGGCGGGACCGGCGCUCGGAGCGCCGUGCGGAGAUCCGUAUCGGGGCUGCUCCCGGCGCUGCGCGGCGUCCGAGGCCCUCAGUGAGAGGAACAUGAACUGACAGCCACCGAGGCCUGACGGGUUCCUGCAGUGAGAGCUCGGCGCGUGUCCGCAGAGGUGAGUGCAGCACCUGAAAGGAGAGAAAUGUGAUUUAUUUUGCUUCAAAGUUAUUUCAAGUUCUUAAAGCCCAACCAACUUUUGCUCUUGAUUUUGGUCGGGUGAAACAUGAGCAGUGGGCAGAGCUCGUGCCAUUGAUGUGGACGUGCCUGAUGCUUUCUGGGGCAGAAAAAAUAGAUUAAGCUCACCUUAUGUCAAGCAGUUAUUAAAAAAGAUUUAUAGCUCUUUAAACAUAACACCUUUUAAUUACCAUAAUGUUUCUUCUAUUAUUUUAACUCAUUUUCAGUGUAUUUUAUAAAACUUAAAAUAACACCUCCUUCCCAUAAAAAAGACUCAUCAAGCAUUAGACAAAAAGUCCUAGUGCCAGUCUCAUGCUUCCACAUCUAACAGGAGACCCUCCCCAUAACCAAACAAAAAAUCAAAAUAAUGUGCCAAAAGUAGUCCUUACUAACAUUAAAAAUACAACUCAACCGUAUCCAAAAAAACCCCAAUUUUAUUUCCUCCAAACACCAAGUACUCUUCAAAUUCUAAAUCAAAAACUCUUAAAAAAACAACAAAAACCAUCAAAAUAUACUUCAAAUACAGAAAAGCCUAAACAUAUAAUUAUUUAUUUGUCAAAGCCCACAAAAAAUAUAGAAGAGUCUAAUCAAUAUCCUACAUUAAUAAAAAACCACUAUACUA